This 2881-nucleotide ribosomal RNA is filed under the name Xanthomonas campestris. RNAcentral describes it as "bacterial LSU rRNA". It matches the Rfam family "Bacterial large subunit ribosomal RNA". Lineage: Bacteria; Pseudomonadati; Pseudomonadota; Gammaproteobacteria; Lysobacterales; Lysobacteraceae. The record is from RNAcentral.
UCAAGCGAAUAAGCGCACACGGUGGAUGCCUAGGCGGUCAGAGGCGAUGAAGGACGUGGUAGCCUGCGAAAAGUGUCGGGGAGCUGGCAACAAGCUUUGAUCCGGCAAUAUCCGAAUGGGGAAACCCACUGCUUCGGCAGUAUCUUGCAGUGAAUUCAUAGCUGCUUGAAGCGAACCCGGUGAACUGAAAUAUCUAAGUAACCGGAGGAAAAGAAAUCAACCGAGAUUCCCUGAGUAGUGACGAGCGAACGGGGAACAGCCCUUAAGCUGGAAUGGCUUUAGAAAAACAAUCUGGAAAGAUUGGCCAUAGAAGGUGAUAGCCCUGUAUUUAAAAGGGCCACUCCAGUGAAGACGAGUAGGGCGGGGCACGUGAAACCCUGUCUGAAUAUGGGGGGACCAUCCUCCAAGGCUAAAUACUCCUGACCGACCGAUAGUGAACCAGUACCGUGAGGGAAAGGCGAAAAGAACCCCGGAGAGGGGAGUGAAAUAGAUCCUGAAACCGUGUGCGUACAAGCAGUAGGAGCUCGCAAGAGUGACUGCGUACCUUUUGUAUAAUGGGUCAGCGACUUACUGUUCGUGGCAAGCUUAACCGUAUAGGGGAGGCGAAGGGAAACCGAGUCUGAUAAGGGCGCAUAGUCGCGGGCAGUAGACCCGAAACCGGGUGAUCUAGUCAUGGCCAGGGUGAAGGUGCCGUAACAGGUACUGGAGGCCCGAACCCACGUCUGUUGCAAAAGACGGGGAUGAGCUGUGAUUAGGAGUGAAAAGCUAAUCGAACCCGGAGAUAGCUGGUUCUCCUCGAAAGCUAUUUAGGUAGCGCCUCGGACGAAUACUACUGGGGGUAGAGCACUGUUAUGGCUAGGGGGUCAUCGCGACUUACCAAACCAUUGCAAACUCCGAAUACCAGUACGUACUAUCCGGGAGACACACGGCGGGUGCUAACGUCCGUCGUGAAAAGGGAAACAACCCAGACCCACAGCUAAGGUCCCAAAUUCACUGCUAAGUGGAAAACGAUGUGGAAAGGCAUAGACAGCCAGGAGGUUGGCUUAGAAGCAGCCACCCUUUAAAGAAAGCGUAAUAGCUCACUGGUCGAGUCGGUCUGCGCGGAAGAUUUAACGGGGCUAAGCAGUGAACCGAAGCUUGGGGUGCGUAAAACUUCGGUUUUAUGCGCGGUAGAGGAGCGUUCCGUAAGCCUGCGAAGGUGGAUUGAGAAGUCUGCUGGAGGUAUCGGAAGUGCGAAUGCUGACAUGAGUAACGAUAAUGCGGGUGAAAAGCCCGCACGCCGAAAGCCCAAGGUUUCCUUGCGCAACGUUAAUCGACGCAGGGUUAGUCGGUCCCUAAGGCGAGGGCGAAAGCCGUAGUCGAUGGGAAGCAGGUUAAUAUUCCUGCACCUCGCGUGAGUGCGAUGGAGGGACGGAGAAGGUUAGGUGUACCGGGCGUUGGUUGUCCCGGGGAAAGGCGGUAGGUUUGGAUCUUUGGCAAAUCCGGGAUCCUUUAAGACCGAGCACCGAGACGAGCCUUUAUGGCGAAGUCACUGAUACCACGCUUCCAGGAAAAGCUCCUAAGCUUCAGCUCACGAAGACCGUACCGUAAACCGACACAGGUGGGUAGGAUGAGAAUUCUCAGGCGCUUGAGAGAACUCGGGUGAAGGAACUAGGCAACAUGGCACCGUAACUUCGGGAGAAGGUGCACCCUUUUUGGUGGCUCAUGCGAGCUAUAGCUGAAGAGGGUCGCAGAAACCAGGCCGCUGCGACUGUUUAUCAAAAACACAGCACUCUGCAAACACGAAAGUGGACGUAUAGGGUGUGACGCCUGCCCGGUGCUGGAAGGUUAAUUGAUGGGGUCAGCCGCAAGGCGAAGCUCUUGAUCGAAGCCCCAGUAAACGGCGGCCGUAACUAUAACGGUCCUAAGGUAGCGAAAUUCCUUGUCGGGUAAGUUCCGACCUGCACGAAUGGCGUAACGACAGCGGCGCUGUCUCCACCCGAGACUCAGUGAAAUUGAAAUCGCUGUGAAGAUGCAGCGUUCCCGUGGCAAGACGGAAAGACCCCGUGAACCUUUACUAUAGCUUUACACUGAACGUUGAGUUCGUCUGUGUAGGAUAGGUGGGAGGCUAUGAAACUGUGGCGCUAGCUGCAGUGGAGCCAUCCUUGAAAUACCACCCUGUCGUGCUUGACGUUCUAACCUAGAUCCGUUAUCCGGAUCAGGGACCGUGUAUGGUGGGUAGUUUGACUGGGGCGGUCUCCUCCUAAAGAGUAACGGAGGAGCACGAAGGUACGCUCAGCGCGGUCGGACAUCGCGCACUGUGUGCAAAGGCAUAAGCGUGCUUGACUGCAAGAUCGACGGAUCAAGCAGGUACGAAAGUAGGUCUUAGUGAUCCGGUGGUUCUGUAUGGAAGGGCCAUCGCUCAACGGAUAAAAGGUACUCCGGGGAUAACAGGCUGAUACCGCCCAAGAGUUCAUAUCGACGGCGGUGUUUGGCACCUCGAUGUCGGCUCAUCACAUCCUGGGGCUGUAGUCGGUCCCAAGGGUAUGGCUGUUCGCCAUUUAAAGUGGUACGCGAGCUGGGUUCAGAACGUCGUGAGACAGUUCGGUCCCUAUCUGCCAUGGGCGUUGGAAGUUUGAGAGGGGCUGCUCCUAGUACGAGAGGACCGGAGUGGACGAACCUCUGGUGUUCCGGUUGUCACGCCAGUGGCAUUGCCGGGUAGCUAUGUUCGGAAGCGAUAACCGCUGAAAGCAUCUAAGCGGGAAGCGCGCCUCAAGAUGAGACUUCCCGGGGCACAAGCCCCCUAAAGGAACCAUAUAGACUAUGUGGUUGAUAGGUCAGGUGUGUAAGUACAGCAAUGUAUUGAGCUAACUGAUACUAAUGAUCCGUGCGGCUUGACCAU